RNAcentral lists this ribosomal RNA (485 nucleotides) under Klebsiella sp. RNAcentral describes it as "bacterial SSU rRNA". It matches the Rfam family "Bacterial small subunit ribosomal RNA", at positions 271 to 749 of the family's 1533-position model. RNAcentral also lists the same sequence under 1 other name. The record is from RNAcentral. Lineage: Bacteria; Pseudomonadati; Pseudomonadota; Gammaproteobacteria; Enterobacterales; Enterobacteriaceae.
AGGCGACGAUCCCUAGCUGGUCUGAGAGGAUGACCAGCCACACUGGAACUGAGACACGGUCCAGACUCCUACGGGAGGCAGCAGUGGGGAAUAUUGCACAAUGGGCGCAAGCCUGAUGCAGCCAUGCCGCGUGUAUGAAGAAGGCCUUCGGGUUGUAAAGUACUUUCAGCGGGGAGGAAGGGAGUAAAGUUAAUACCUUUGCUCAUUGACGUUACCCGCAGAAGAAGCACCGGCUAACUCCGUGCCAGCAGCCGCGGUAAUACGGAGGGUGCAAGCGUUAAUCGGAAUUACUGGGCGUAAAGCGCACGCAGGCGGUUUGUUAAGUCAGAUGUGAAAUCCCCGGGCUCAACCUGGGAACUGCAUCUGAUACUGGCAAGCUUGAGUCUCGUAGAGGGGGGUAGAAUUCCAGGUGUAGCGGUGAAAUGCGUAGAGAUCUGGAGGAAUACCGGUGGCGAAGGCGGCCCCCUGGACGAAGACUACGUCAG